Stegostoma tigrinum is the source of this 2210-nucleotide long non-coding RNA. RefSeq lists it as uncharacterized. The transcript has 13 exons. The record is from RefSeq and is a predicted model, not a curated record. NCBI's taxonomy places the organism in Eukaryota, Metazoa, Chordata, Chondrichthyes, Orectolobiformes, Stegostomatidae.
GUAUUCCUGGGCGACUCUGCUCGUGUGGUCUGUGGAGUUGUGGAGGUCGCAGUUCUAGGACAGCCAUUUCAUAGGCCUCUGCUGCAGUGGAUCUGUUGGAGUUGCACACAGCGCAACGCGUCUUUGAUCAACACAAAUUGACACAAACCGAGCAACUUCUGAAUGUGACUGAAGUAAUCAACUGUUUAACGUCCAUUUAUGAUGUUUUGGAACAAAACCACAAGGACUUGGUCAAUGUGCCACUCUGUGUCGACAUGUGUCUGAACUGGCUGCUGAACGUAUUUGAUACCAUCGAGACCAAGCCAGACAGCUUGUCAUGCUUGUCAGCAGUCAUCAAUCAAAGGAGUGGAUGUGUUGCCGUUCAGCACCGUGAUAUGUUGAUCUCACACCCGCAGUAUGUGCCAGCUGCAGAAGCACAGAAGGCAUUGCAUUGUCUCCAACCACAUGGUCAUGCUUCAGGUUCCGAGGGGAAUGGUCUCCAGUCAAGCGAGGCAGUUUCAGGCAGCAGAUCGAGGGGUAUGAGUGGAAGAAUCAGAGUGCUUUCUUUGAAAAUUCGCUUGACGUGACUCUUCAAGGAUCAUCUGGAGGAAAAAUACAAGUAUCUCUUCAAACAAGUCGCUGAACCCACAGAUUUAUGUGACCAACGAAGCCUGAGUCUUUUGCUUUACGAUGCAGUCCAGAUCCCUUGGCAGCUGGGUGAGGUAGCUUCAUUUGGAGGCUGCAACAUUGAACCAAGUAUCCGCAGUUGCUUCCAACAUGGCCAGAACAAACCAGAGAUUGACGUUGAACGCUUUGUCGAGUGGAUGAGAUUGGAGCCUCAGUCCAUGGUGUGGCUGCCUGUUCGACACCGUGUGGCAGCUGCUGAAACUGCAAAACAUCAGGCUAAGUGUAACAUCUGCAAAGAGUACCCAAUCGUAGGUUUCAGGUACCGCAGUCUCAAGCACUUCAAUUCUGACAUCUGCCAAAGCUGUUUCUUUUCGGGGCGCACAUCAAAGGGACACAAGUUACAUUGCCCCAUGGUGGAGUACUGCACUCCGAACCUACCCCGGAAGAGAGAGCCCAGAGAAUUGCCAAAGCUGUCCGCAAACAGUCAAUAGAAGUGAAGGAAACUUGGGAGCAAUUGAAAACCCAUGCGAGCAACUGGCAGGAACAGGUGGAAAAGGUGUUGGAGAAACUUCAAGAACUGCAGAAAGCUCUGGAUGAUCAUGAGGCUCAUGUGAUAACAGCUGAAGGGGUCCGCACUGAUUGACAACCUGUGGGUGAACUGCUUAUUGACUCAUUGCAGGAUCACAUUGAUAAAACCACAAAUCUACCCCGGAAGAGAGAGCCCAGAGAAUUGCCCAAGCUGUCUGCAAACAGUCAAUUGACGUGAAGGAAAAUUGGGACCAAUUGAAAACCCAUGUGAGCAACUGGCAGAAACAGGUGGAAAAGGCGUUAGAGAAACUUCAAGAACCGCAGAAAGCUCUGGAUGAUCUUGAGUCUCAUGUGAUAACAGCUGAGGGGGUCCACACUGAUUGGCAACCUGUGAAUGACCUGUUUAUUGACGCAUUGCAGGAUCACAUUGAUAAAACCACAGGUAAGGACUGCCUGCAAAAUCUGAGAUUGGGUUUUGAAAGACAUCAACCUUUGCUUGCGAGAGAUAAUGGUAACUGCAGAUGCUAGAGAAUACGAGAUAACAAUGUGUGGAGCUGGAUGAACACAGCAGGCCAAGCAGCAUCUCAGGAGCACAAAAGCUGACAUUUCGGGCCUCGACCCUUCAUGCGAGAGAACGUAACGUUUUUAAAGAAGAAAUUGCCCCAGUCAAACAAGAAGUCAAAAUAUUAAAUGAUCUGGCCAGUCAGUUAUCUCCGCUUGAUGUCUCUUUCUCUCCAAAGAUUUCUCACCAGCUUGAUGACCUAAAUAUGAGGUUGAAAUUUAUACAGCAGCAGGAGGUGAGGAGGCAGAGACUGCAACCCUGAGGUCACGGAGGGAAGGAAAAGAGGCUCUUACUUGGAGAUUGAGAAGCAGGAGAGGGCACAACCCAGAGGUUUGGGAGUGGAGAGAGGCUGCAAGUUGGAGGUCAAGCCACCAGACUCAGAGUACCUGUUGGGACCAUCCAAAAAUGACUGAACAUUUUCACUCAUUAGGUAAGUAGAUUGAUAAUAGGACUCUGGUUCUGUGCCACUGUCAGAUCAUUGCGACUCCAAAAGGUACCAAAGUAAAUUCUGGAU